Non-coding RNA from Xyrichtys novacula (pearly razorfish), 23473 nucleotides. Lineage: Eukaryota; Metazoa; Chordata; Actinopteri; Labriformes; Labridae. The record is from the annotation of a GenBank genome assembly.
ACUUGAUUUUGUGGUUUUUGUUUAACUUGAGUUUGUGUCGUGUUUGAACUUCAGUUUGUGGUGUUUUUUAACUUGAGUUUGUGGUUUUUUUGAAGUUGAGAGUGUGGGAUUUUUUGAACUUCAGUUUGUGGCAAUUGUUAAACUUGAGUUUGUGUUUUAGUUGAACCUGAGUUUGUUUCGUGUUUGAACUUGAGUUUGUGGUGUUUUUAAACAUGACUUUGUGGUAUUUUUAAAUUUGAGGGGGUAGAAUUUGUUGAACUUGAGGUUGUGGCAAUUGUUAAACUUGAGAUUUGGGUGUUGGUUGAACUUGAGUUUGUGUUGUUUUUGAACUUGAGUUUGUGGCGUUUCUGAACUUGAGUUGGUGGUGUUUUUGAACUUGAGUUUCAUGUUUGAACUUGAUUUUGUGGUUUUUGUUGAACUUGAGUUUGUGUCGGUGUGAACUUGAGUUUGUGGUGUUUUUUAACUUGAGUUUGUGGUUUUUUUGAAGUUGAGAGUGUGGAAUUUGUUGAACUUGAGGUUGUGGCAAUUGUUAAACUUGAGUUUGUGUUUUAGUUGAACUUGAGUUUGUGUCGUGUUUGAACUUGAGUUUUUGUGUUUUUUGAACUUAAGUUUGUGUUGUUUUUGAACAUGAGUUUGUUUCAUGUUUGAACUUGAGAUUGUGGCGUUUGUUGAACUUGAGUUUGUGUGUUUGUUGAACUUGAGGGUGUGGCAAUUGUUAAAUUUUAGAUUUGGGGGUUGGUUGAACUUGAUUUUUUGUUGUUUUUGUACUGGAGUUUGUGGUUUUUUUGAAGUUGGGGGUGUGGAAUUUGUUAAACUUGAGAAUCUGGUAUUGGUUGAACUUGAGUCAUUGGUGUUUUUGAACUUGAGUUUGUGUCGUGUUUGAACUUGAGUUUGUGGUGUUUUUGACCUUGAAUUUGCGUGUUUGGUGAACUUGAGUUUGUGUGUUUGUUGCACUUGAGGUUGUGGCAAUUUUUAAACUUGAGACUUGGAUAUUGGUUGACCUUGAGUUUGUGUCGUGUUUCAACUUGAGUCUGUGUUCUUUUUGAACUUGAGCUUGUGGAAUUGUAAAACUUGAGAAUCAGGUGUUGGUUGAACUUGAAUUUGUGUUUUUUUUUAAACUUGAGUUUGUGUUGUGUUUGAACUUGAGUAUGUUGUGUAUUUGAACUUCAGUCUGUGUUGUUUUUGAACUUGAGGUGGUGGAAAUUGUUCAACUUGAGAAAGUGGGUAUUGGUUGAACUUGAGUUUAUAUUGUUUUUGAACUUGUGUUUGUGGUGUGUUUGAACUUGAGAUUGUGUGUUAUUUGAACUUGAGGUUGUUAAAAUUUUUAAACUUGAGAAUCAGGUGUUGGUUGAACUUGAGUUUGUGGUUUUUGUUGAACUUGAGUUUGUGGUGUGUUUGAACUUGAGAUUGUGUGUUAUUUAAACUUGAGGUUGUGAAAAUUUUUAAACUUGACAAUCAGGUGUUGGUUGAACUUGAGUUUGUGUUGUGUUUGAACUUGAUUUUGUGCCGUUUUUUAACUUGAGUUUGUGGUGAUUUUGAACUUGAGUCUGUGUUGUUCUUGAAUUUGUAGUUGUGGAAAUUGUUAAACUUGAGAAUUGGGUCCUGGUUGAACUUGAGUUUUUGGUGUUUUUGAACUUGAGUUUGUGUCGUGUUUGAACUUGAGUUUCAUGUUUGAACUUGAUUUUGUGGUUUUUGUUUAACUUGAGUUUGUGUCGUGUUUGAACUUCAGUUUGUGGUGUUUUUUAACUUGAGUUUGUGGUUUUUUUGAAGUUGAGAGUGUGGGAUUUUUUGAACUUCAGUUUGUGGCAAUUGUUAAACUUGAGUUUGUGUUUUAGUUGAACCUGAGUUUGUUUCGUGUUUGAACUUGAGUUUGUGGUGUUUUUAAACAUGACUUUGUGGUAUUUUUAAAUUUGAGGGGGUAGAAUUUGUUGAACUUGAGGUUGUGGCAAUUGUUAAACUUGAGAUUUGGGUGUUGGUUGAACUUGAGUUUGUGUUGUUUUUGAACUUGAGUUUGUGGCGUUUCUGAAAUUGAGUUGGUGGUGUUUUUGAACUUGAGUUUCAUGUUUGAACUUGAUUUUGUGGUUUUUGUUGAACUUGAGUUUGUGUCGGUGUGAACUUCAGUUUGUGGUGUUUUUUAACUUGAGUUUGUGGUUUUUUUGAAGUUGAGAGUGUGGAAUUUGUUGAACUUGAGGUUGUGGCAAUUGUUAAACUUGAGUUUGUGUUUUAGUUGAACUUGAGUUUGUGUCGUGUUUGAACUUGAGUUUUUGUGUUUUUUGAACUUAAGUUUGUGUUGUUUUUGAACAUGAGUUUGUUUCAUGUUUGAACUUGAGAUUGUGGCGUUUGUUGAACUUGAGUUUGUGUGUUUGUUGAACUUGAGGGUGUGGCAAUUGUUAAAUUUUAGAUUUGGGGGUUGGUUGAACUUGAUUUUUUGUUGUUUUUGUACUGGAGUUUGUGGUUUUUUUGAAGUUGGGGGUGUGGAAUUUGUUGAAUUUGAGGUUGUGGCGAUUGUUUAACUUGAGUUUGUGUUUUAGUUGAACUUGAGUUUGUGUCAUGUUUGAACUUCAGUUUUUGUGUUUGUUGAACUUUAGUUUAUGUUGUGUUUGAACUUGAGUUUUUGUUGUAUUUGAAAUUGACUUUGUGUGUUUGUUGAACUUGAGUUUGUGUUGUGUUUGAACUUGAGUGUGUGUCAUGUUUGAACUUUAGUUAGUGGUGUUUUCGAACUUGAGUUUGUGUCGUGUUUGCACUUGAGUUUGUGGUGUUUUUGAACUUGAUUUGGUGUGUUUGUUGAACUUGAGUUUGUGGUCUUUUUGAACUCGAGUUGGUGGUGAUUUUGAACUUGAGUUUCGUGUUUGAACUUGAGUUUGUGGUUUUUGUUUAACUUGAGUUUGUGUCGUGUUUGAACUUGAGUUUGUGGUGUUUUUGAACUUGAGUUUCGUGUUUGAACUUGAGUUUGUGGUUUUUGUUUAACUUGAGUUUGUGUCGUGUUUGAACUUGAGUUUGUGGUGUUUUUGAACUUGAGUUUGUGUCGUGUUUGAACUUGAGUUUGUGGUGUUUUUGAACUUGAUUUGCUGUGUUUGUUGAACUUGAGUUUUUGGUCUUUUUGAACUUGAGUUGGUGGUGAUUUUGAACUUGAGUUUGUGGUAUUUCUGAAGUUUAGGGUGUGGAAUUUUUUUAACUUGAGGUUGUGGAAAUUGUUAAACUUGUGUGUUAUUUGAACUCUAGUUUGUGCCGUGUUUGAACUUGAGUUUGUGGUGUUUGUUGAACUCUAUUUUUUGUGUUUGUUGAACUUGAGUUUCGUGUUUGAACUUGAGUUUUUGGUUUUUGUUGAACUUGAGUUUGUGUCGUUUUUGAACUUGAGUUUCUGGUUUUUUGAAGUUGAGGGUGUGGAAUUUGUUGAACUUGAUGUUGUGGGAUUUUUUAAACUUGAGUUUGUGUUUAAGUUGAACUUGAGUUGGUGUCGUGUUUGAACUUGAGUUUUUGUGUUUGUUGAACUUAAGUUUGUGUUGUUUUUAAACAUGAGUUUGUUUCAUGUUUGAACUUGACUUUGUGGCUUUUGUUGAACUUGAGUUUGUGUGGUUGUUUAACUAGAGGUUGUGGCAGUUGUUAAGCUUGAGAUUUGGUUGUUGGUUGAACUCUAGUUUGUGUCGUGUUUGAACUUGAGUUUGUGGUUUUUGUUGAACUUGAGUUUGUGUUUUUUGUUGAACUUGAGUUUGUGUGUUUUUUGAACUUGAGUUUCUGUUGUUUUUUAACUUAAUGUUGUUGAAAUCUUUAAACUUGAGAAUUGUGUAUUGUUUGAUCUUUAGUUUGUGUGUUUGUUAAACUUGGGUUUGUGUCGUGUUUGAACUUGAGUUUGUGAUGUUUUUGAACUUGAGGUUGUGGAGAUUUUUUAUCUUGAGAAUUGGGUAUUGGUCGAACUUGAGUUUUUGUUGCUUUUUAACUUGAGUUUGUGACGUGUUUAAACUUAGGUUUUGGUGUGUUUUAACUUGAGUUUGUGUGUUUGUUGAACUUGAGGAUGUGGCAAUAGCAAAACUUAAGAUUUGGGUGUUGAAUUUGAGUUUGUGUCAUGUCUGAACUUGAGUUCAUGAUGUUUGUUUAACUUUAUUUUGUGUGUUUUUUGAACUUGAGGUUUUGAAAAUUUUUAAACUUGAGAAUCAGGUGUUUGUUGAACUUGAGUUUGUGGUUUUUUUUACUUGAGUUUGUGUCGUGUUUUAACUUGAGUUUGUGUUUUUUUUUAACUUGAGGUUGUGGAAAUUGUUAAACUUGAGAAUCUGGUAUUGGUUGAACUUGAGUCAUUGGUGUUUUUGAACUUGAGUUUGUGUCGUGUUUGAACUUGAGUUUGUGGUGUUUUUGACCUUGAAUUUGCGUGUUUGGUGAACUUGAGUUUGUGUGUUUGUUGCACUUGAGGUUGUGGCAAUUUUUAAACUUGAGACUUGGAUAUUGGUUGACCUUGAGUUUGUGUCGUGUUUCAACUUGAGUCUGUGUUCUUUUUGAACUUGAGCUUGUGGAAUUGUAAAACUUGAGAAUCAGGUGUUGGUUGAACUUGAAUUUGUGUUUUUUUUUAAACUUGAGUUUGUGUUGUGUUUGAACUUGAGUAUGUUGUGUAUUUGAACUUCAGUCUGUGUUGUUUUUGAACUUGAGGUGGUGGAAAUUGUUCAACUUGAGAAAGUGGGUAUUGGUUGAACUUGAGUUUAUAUUGUUUUUGAACUUGUGUUUGUGGUGUGUUUGAACUUGAGAUUCUGUGUUAUUUGAACUUGAGGUUGUUAAAAUUUUUAAACUUGAGAAUCAGGUGUUGGUUGAACUUGAGUUUGUGGUUUUUGUUGAACUUGAGUUUGUGGUGUGUUUGAACUUGAGAUUGUGUGUUAUUUAAACUUGAGGUUGUGAAAUUUUUUAAACUUGACAAUCAGGUGUUGGUUGAACUUGAGUUUGUGUUGUGUUUGAACUUGAUUUUGUGCCGUUUUUUAACUUGAGUUUGUGGUGAUUUUGAACUUGAGUCUGUGUUGUUCUUGAAUUUGAAGUUGUGGAAAUUGUUAAACUUGAGAAUUGGGUCCUGGUUGAACUUGAGUUUUUGGUGUUUUUGAACUUGAGUUUGUGUCGUGUUUGAACUUGAGUUUGUGGUGUUUUUGAACUUUAAUUUGUGUGUUUUGUGAACUUGAGUUUGUGUUUUUUGAACUUGAGUUUCUGUUGUAUUUGAACUUGAGGUUGUGGAUAUUGUUAAACCUUUGAAUCAGGUGUUGGUUGAACUUGAGUUUGUGUGUUUGUUGAACUAAGAUUCGUUGAACUUGAGUUUGUGGCAAUUGCUGAACUUGCGUCUGUGGUGUAGCAAUCAAGACAACCCUGGGUGUGAAACUCACACAUUUCUCACAGGAAAGUUUCCUUAUCUGGUCCCAGGACACAGGAUAUAAAUCUUUCCAGACUUGUUUGCACUUUCAGGUUAAAUGACCCGACCGGAGGUUGACUAAACCUCUGACUCUUCACGAUUGGUCAAUUCGGAGAACAGAGACAGAGUUUUUAUUACCUUUCAAACUGACUCCAUUGCUGACCAUCUAAAUAAACAUUAACGUCUCAACCUAGAUCUCCCAUUUGAGAUUUACCUUCUUAAAGUGUGUGAACAUACAGACCCCAGGAGAAGAGGGGACACUGACCUCCAGACCUCGGUCGUAAAACCCUGCUCGACCAUUCACUGAUAAAGACUGCAUUCCUUUGGUGAAAGAAUACAAAUGACUGAUCCUGACAUCUUAUGCAUUCAGCAAUGUACUAAUCUGUCUAAUCAUGAAAUAUGUGUUAAAAUGAGAUGUUUCCCGUUUUUCUAUGUGCUCCAGAAGCAGAAUUAUUACUCGGACAGAAUAAAUCCUUUAUUCUUAAGUUUCUUUAGACCAACAGCUUUUCAGACUGUUUCAUGAACUUUUAAGAGUUAAAUUUAUUGACUAUGAAUGUUUGAUGUGAUCCUACACUUCAUUCAUAUAUGUUUAGUAUUGAAUUAUUUAUCAUGAAACCAAGCAUUCAAUGAUAUUAAUCAUAGUGAGUGAGUAUCAGAUCUGACUCUUUUACCAGCCAAAAGAAUAAGGUAGAUCAAAUAAUCAGAGACCCCAUGAACCCUCCUCUUUCUCCUCACACACACACGCCAGAGCCACUCCCAGUGUGAGAAGAUAAAACCAGUGAAGUGGGGUUGCUCACUCUCUUGUCUGCUCUCUCUUAUGCCCCUUACUCUUCUCCCCUUUUGGGUCUUCUGUCCACACCCUUCUGUGGUCCUCUUCUUUGUUUUCUCUUAGAACUUUUUCUUACUCUUCUAAGUUUUACACCACGUGUUGAUUCACGUUGAUUUUUCUUUAACAUCGUCUUAGUUCAAGUUUUGAAACUUCAACUUUUUGUGCGCAUAGCAAUUCAAGAUUAAGCUUUUGAUUGAUUUUUCUUUAAUUUCGUGAGGCCAUUUUUGAAAGUUAUCUCUGCUCAUCGAACCUCGUUUUUCUGAGUUAUCUGUGUGAUUUCAAAGUCACCUCUGAACGCAACCCAGCAGGCCCAGGUCAUCCUCUGUGCCAGAGUUUUUGAGUGAGACCAAAGAAGCAUCCAAACGAGCAUCCUCAGGAUCCACAGGCGCCGGCUUUACUUCAGGCCUGAGUGCUACAACUCCUGGCCCAUUCUUCAGCUGACUUCAGUCGUCUUUUGAGCUGAACCGCUCGAAUCGCCGUUAGCCCCGGACCUUCGGAACCUGCUCCAUCUUCUCCAAGGACCAGUCUCACUUAAGUAUGCAAAUCUCCAGAGCUCCAAACAGGGCUGAUGCUGUCUCAUGCGUUCAUAACUCAGAUAUCCACUUAUUCUGGUAAUCUCAGAUUCCUCCAAAUCCACAUCCGAGUUUAUCUUGACACCAAAGUUAGUGUAGGUUAAUAUGUUAGAGCAUAUUCACUCACUAUCAUUAACUUUAGUGCUCCUAGCCUGACUCAGAAUCUUUAUUUAUUCACCUAUUGUUAUAUAUCCUCAUUAUCUUAUCAUCAUUUAUUGCAUGUGUGUUGUACCAUCAUUUAUGCUGUAAUAAACAGAUCAUUAUUUUUCUAAGUUCUUGUCUGUUAGUGUUCUUCCAGAAGUGGAGUCCCUGAAAUGAGAAUUUCGGCUUAAGAUAUGAGAUUGAUUAAUUAAUGAUUGACUUGAUGUUUGAUUUCUGAAUUAAACUUUAGUUUUCUUUAUUUUCCCACCAUUAAGGGUGGGUGGUGCCCCUUUCAACGAGUGCAUAAAUGUCAUAACUUGAGAUUAUUAAUCUUCAGACAUUUCUUAUAAAUUCAAAUCGCUACAGUAUUAUUUUGGUGCGACCGUGUGAGGCUAAUUUCAAACCGUAUUAUUUUGGUGCCGCUGUGUAAGGCUCAUUUCAAAUCGCUACAGUGGUUUUUAAUGAACUUUAAUUGGUGUCAAUUUUUGAACUUGAGUUUGUGUGUUGGUUGAACUUGAGUUUGUGGUGUGUUUGAACUUGAGUUUGUGUGUUGGUUGAACUUGAGAUUGAAGUGUGUUUAAACUUGAGUUUGUGUGUUGGUUGAACUUGAGUUUGUGUCAUGUUUGAACUUGAGUUUUUUGUGUUUUUUGAACUUGAGUUUGUGGCAAUUGUUGAACUUGCGUCUGUGGUUUUUACUGAACUUUAAUCUCUGGCUAUUUUUAACUUGAGUUUUUGGCGUUUGUUGAACUUAAGUUUGUGUCGUGUUUGAACUUGAGUUUGUGGUGUUUUUGAACUUGAUUUUGUGUGUUUGAUGAACUUGAUUUUGUGUUUUGUUUGAACUUGAGUUUGUGGUGUUUUUGAACUUGAGGUUGUGGAAAUUGUUAAACCUGAGAAUCAGGUGUUGGUUGAACUUGAGUUAGUGUGUUUGUUGAACUUGAGUUUGUGUUGUGUUUGAACUUGAGUUUGUGGUGUUUUUGAACUUGAGUUUGUGUGUUUGAUGAACUUGAUUUUGUGUUUUGUUUGAACUUGAGUUUGUGGUGUUUUUGAACUUGAGGUUGUGGAAAUUGUUAAACAUAAGAAUUGGGUAUUGGUUGAGUUUUUUUUGUUUUUGAACUUGAGUUUGUGUCAUGUUUAAACUUGAGUUUGUGCUGUGUUUGAAUUUGAGUUUGUGUUUUUUUUAACUUGAGUUUGUGAAAAUUUUUAAACUUGAGAAUUAGCUGUUAGUUGAACUUGAGUUUGUGGUUUUUGUUGAACUUGAGUUUGUGUCGUGUUUGAACUUGCGUUUGUUGUGUUUUUGAACUUGAGUUUCUGUUGUUUUUGAACUUUAGGUUUUGAAAAUUGUUAAACCCGGGAAUCAGGUGUUGGUUGAACUUGAGUUAGUUUGUUUGUUGAACUUGAGUUUGUGGUGUGUUUGAACUUGAGUUUGUAUGUUGGUUGAACUUGAGUUUGUGUCGUUUUUGAACUUGAGUUUUUUGUGUUUUUGAACUUGAAUUUGCGUGUUUGGUGAACUUGAGUUUGUGUGUUUUUUGAACUUGAGUUUCCGUUGUUUUUGAACUUGAGGUUGUGGAAAUUGUUAAACCUGGGAAUCAGGUGUCGGUUGAACUUGAGUUAGUUUGUUUGUUGAACUUGAGUUUGUGGUGUAUUUGAACUUGAGUUUUUGUGUUUUUUGAACUUGAGUUUGUGGCAAUUGUUGAACUUGCGUCUGUGGUUUUUACUGAACUUUAAUCUCUGGCUAUUUUUAACUUGAGUUUUUGGCGUUUGUUGAACUUUAGUUUGUGUCGUGUUUGAACUUGAGUUUGUGGUGUUUUUGAACUUGAGUUUGUGUGUUUGAUGAACUUGAGUUUGUGCUGUGUUUGAACUUGAGUUUGUGUGUUUGUUGAACUUGAGCUUGUGGCAAUUGUUAAACUUGAGAUUUGGCUGUUGGUUGUGUUUUUUGAACUUGAGGUUGUGAAAAUUUUUAAACUUGAAAAUCAGUUGUUUGUCGAACUCGAGUUUGUAGUUUUUGUUAACUUGAGUUUUGUCAUGUUUUAACUUGAGUUUGUAGUUUUUGUACUUGAUUUUAUGGUGUUUUUGAACUUCAGUUUUUGUCAUGUUUGAACUUGAGUUUGUGUCGUGUUUGAACUUGAGUUUGUGGUGUUUUUGAACUUGAGUUUGUGUGUUUGAUGAACUUGAGUUUGUGCUGUGUUUGAACUUGAGUUUGUGUGUUUGUUGAACUUGAGCUUGUGGCAAUUGUUAAACUUGAGAUUUGGCUGUUGGUUGUGUUUUUUGAACUUGAGGUUGUGAAAAUUUUUAAACUUGAAAAUCAGUUGUUUGUUGAACUCGAGUUUGUGGUUUUUGUUAACUUGAGUUUUGUCAUGUUUUAACUUGAGUUUGGAGUUUUUGUACUUGAUUUUAUGGUGUUUUUGAACUUCAGUUUUUGUCAUGUUUGAACUUCAGUGUGUGUCGUGUUUGAACUUUAGUUAGUGGUGUUUUCGAACUUGAGUUUGUGUUGUGUUUGCACUUGAGUUUGUGGUGUUUUUGAACUUGAUUUGGUGUGUUUGUUGAACUUGAGUUUGUGUGUUUUUUGAACUUGAGUUUCCGUUGUUUUUGAACUUGAGGUUGUGGAAAUUGUUAAACCUGGGAAUCAGGUGUCGGUUGAACUUGAGUUAGUUUGUUUGUUGAACUUGAGUUUGUGGUGUAUUUGAACUUGAGUUUUUGUGUUUUUUGAACUUGAGUUUGUGGCAAUUGUUGAACUUGCGUCUGUGGUUUUUACUGAACUUUAAUCUCUGGCUAUUUUUAACUUGAGUUUUUGGCGUUUGUUGAACUUUAGUUUGUGUCGUGUUUGAACUUGAGUUUGUGGUGUUUUUGAACUUGAGUUUGUGUGUUUGAUGAACUUGAGUUUGUGCUGUGUUUGAACUUGAGUUUGUGUGUUUGUUGAACUUGAGCUUGUGGCAAUUGUUAAACUUGAGAUUUGGCUGUUGGUUGUGUUUUUUGAACUUGAGGUUGUGAAAAUUUUUAAACUUGAAAAUCAGUUGUUUGUUGAACUCGAGUUUGUAGUUUUUGUUAACUUGAGUUUUGUCAUGUUUUAACUUGAGUUUGUAGUUUUUGUACUUGAUUUUAUGGUGUUUUUGAACUUCAGUUUUUGUCAUGUUUGAACUUGAGUUUGUGUCGUGUUUGAACUUGAGUUUGUGGUGUUUUUGAACUUGAGUUUGUGUGUUUGAUGAACUUGAGUUUGUGCUGUGUUUGAACUUGAGUUUGUGUGUUUGUUGAACUUGAGCUUGUGGCAAUUGUUAAACUUGAGAUUUGGCUGUUGGUUGUGUUUUUUGAACUUGAGGUUGUGAAAAUUUUUAAACUUGAAAAUCAGUUGUUUGUUGAACUCGAGUUUGUAGUUUUUGUUAACUUGAGUUUUGUCAUGUUUUAACUUGAGUUUGUAGUUUUUGUACUUGAUUUUAUGGUGUUUUUGAACUUCAGUUUUUGUCAUGUUUGAACUUGAGUUUGUGUCGUGUUUGAACUUGAGUUUGUGGUGUUUUUGAACUUGAGUUUGUGUGUUUGAUGAACUUGAGUUUGUGCUGUGUUUGAACUUGAGUUUGUGUGUUUGUUGAACUUGAGCUUGUGGCAAUUGUUAAACUUGAGAUUUGGCUGUUGGUUGUGUUUUUUGAACUUGAGGUUGUGAAAAUUUUUAAACUUGAAAAUCAGUUGUUUGUUGAACUCGAGUUUGUAGUUUUUGUUAACUUGAGUUUUGUCAUGUUUUAACUUGAGUUUGUAGUUUUUGUACUUGAUUUUAUGGUGUUUUUGAACUUCAGUUUGUGUCGUGUUUGAACUUGAGUGUGUGUGGUGUUUGAACUUUAGUUAGUGGUGUUUUCGAACUUGAGUUUGUGUCGUGUUUGAACUUGAGUUUGUGGUGUUUUUGAACUUGAUUUGGUGUGUUUGUUGAACUUGAGUUUGUUGUCUUUUUGAACUUGAGUUGGUGGUGAUUUUGAACUUGAGUUUCGUGUUAACUUGAGUUUGUGGUUUUUGUUUAACUUGAGUUUGUGUCGUGUUUGAACUUGAGUUUGUGGUGUUUUUGAACUUGAGUUUCGUGUUUGAACUUGAGUUUGUGGUUUUUGUUUAGCUUGAGUUUGUGUCGUGUUUGAACUUGAGUUUGUGGUGUUUUUGAACUUGAGUUUGUGUCGUGUUUGAACUUGAGUUUGUGGUGUUUUUGAACUUGAGUUUGUGUGUUUGUUGAACUUGAGUUUUUGGUCUUUUUGAACUUGAGUUGGUGGUGAUUUUGAACUUGAGUUUGUGGUAUUUCUGAAGUUGAGGGUGUGGAAUUUUUUUAACUUGAGGUUGUGGAAAUUGUUAAACUUGUGUGUUAUUUGAACUCUAGUUUGUGCCGUGUUUGAACUUGAGUUUGUGGUGUUUGUUGAACUCUAUUUUUUGUGUUUGUUGAACUUGAGUUUCGUGUUUGAACUUGAGUUUUUGGUUUUUGUUGAACUUGAGUUUGUGUCGUUUUUGAACUUGAGUUUCUGGUUUUUUGAAGUUGAGGGUGUGGAAUUUGUUGAACUUGAUGUUGUGGGAUUUGUUAAACUUGAGUUUGUGUUUAAGUUGAACUUGAGUUUGUGUCGUGUUUGAACUUGAGUUUUUGUGUUUGUUGAACUUAAGUUUGUGUUGUUUUUGAACAUGAGUUUGUUUCAUGUUUGAACUUGACUUUGUGGCGUUUGUUGAACUUGAGUUUGUGUGGUUGUUUAACUUGAGGUUGUGGCAGUUGUUAAGCUUGAGAUUUGGUUGUUGGUUGAACUCUAGUUUGUGUCGUGUUUGAACUUGAGUUUGUGGUUUUUGUUGAACUUGAGUUUGUGUUUUUUGUUGAACUUGAGUUUGUGUGUUUUUUGAACUUGAGUUUCUGUUGUUUUUGAACUUAGUUUGUGUGUGUUUGUUAAACUUGAGUUUGUGUCGUGUUUGAACUUGAGUUUGUGAUGUUUUUGAACUUGAGGUUGUGGAGAUUUUUUAUCUUGAGAAUUGGGUAUUGGUCGAACUUGAGUUUUUGUUGCUUUUUAACUUGAGUUUGUGACGUGUUUAAACUUAGGUUUUGGUGUGUUUUAACUUGAGUUUGUGUGUUUGUUGAACUUGAGGAUGUGGCAAUAGCUAAACUUCAGAUUUGGGUGUUGGUUGAAUUUGAGUUUGUGUCAUGUCUGAACUUGAGUUCAUGAUGUUUGUUUAACUUUAUUUUGUGUUUUUUGAACUUGAGGUUUUGAAAAUUUUUAAACUUGAGAAUCAGGUGUUUGUUGAACUUGAGUUUGUGGUUUUUUUUUACUUGAGUUUGUGUCGUGUUUUAACUUGAGUUUGUGGUUUUUUUUUAACUUGAGGUUGUGGAAAUUGUUAAACUUGAGAAUCUGGUAUUGGUUGAACUUGAGUCAUUGGUGUUUUUGAACUUGAGUUUGUGUCGUGUUUGAACUUGAGUUUGUGGUGUUUUUGACCUUGAAUUUGCGUGUUUGGUGAACUUGAGUUUGUGUGUUUGUUGCACUUGAGGUUGUGGCAAUUUUUAAACUUGAGACUUGGAUAUUGGUUGACCUUGAGUUUGUGUCGUGUUUCAACUUGAGUCUGUGAUCUUUUUGAACUUGAGCUUGUGGAAUUGUAAAACUUGAGAAUCAGGUGUUGGUUGAACUUGAAUUUGUGUUUUUUUUUAAACUUGAGUUUGUGUUGUGUUUGAACUUGAGUAUGUUGUGUAUUUGAACUUCAGUCUGUGUUGUUUUUGAACUUGAGGUGUUGGAAAUUGUUCAACUUGAGAAAGUGGGUAUUGGUUGAACUUGAGUUUAUACUGUUUUUGAACUUGUGUUUGUGGUGUGUUUGAACUUGAGAUUGUGUGUUAUUUGAACUUGAGGUUGUUAAAAUUUUUAAACUUGAGAAUCAGGUGUUGGUUGAACUUGAGUUUGUGGUUUUUGUUGAACUUGAGUUUGUGGUGUGUUUGAACUUGAGAUUGUGUGUUAUUUAAACUUGAGGUUGUGAAAAUUUUUAAACUUGACAAUAAGGUGUUGGUUGAACUUGAGUUUGUGUUGUGUUUGAACUUGAUUUUGUGCCGUUUUCUAACUUGAGUUUGUGGUGAUUUUGAACUUGAGUCUGUGUUGUUCUUGAAUUUGAAGUUGUGGAAAUUGUUAAACUUGAGAAUUGGGUCCUGGUUGAACUUGAGUUUUUGGUGUUUUUGAACUUGAGUUUGUGUCGUGUUUGAACUUGAGUUUGUGGUGUUUUUGAACUUUAAUUUGCGUGUUUUGUGAACUUGAGUUUGUGUUUUUUGAACUUGAGUUUCUGUUGUAUUUGAACUUGAGGUUGUGGAUAUUGUUAACCUUUGAAUCAGGUGUUUGUUGAACUUGAGUUUGUGUCAUGUUUGAACUUGAGUUUGUUGUGUGUUUGAACUUGAGUUGGUUUGUUUGAUGAACUCCAGGUUGUGGCAAUUGUUUAACUUGAGAUUUGAGUGUUGGUUCAACUUGAGUUUGUGGCGUGUUUGAAGUUGAGUUCUUGUUUGUUGAACUUCAUUUUGUGUGUUUUUUUAAAUUGAGGUUGUGAAAAUUUAUAAACUUGAGAAUCAGGUGUUGGUUGAAAUUGAGUUUGUGUCGUGUUUGAACUUGAGUUUGUGGUGUAUUUGAACUUGAGUUCGUGUGUUUGAUGAACUUGAGUUUGUGUGUUUGUUGAACUUGAGUUUGUGUGUUUGUUGAACUUGAGUUUGUGUUGUGUUUGAACUUGAGUUUGUGGUGUUUUUGAACUUGAGGGUGUGUAAUUUGUUUAACUUGAGGUUGUGGCAAUUGUUAAACUUGAGUUUGUGUGUUUGUUGAACUUGGGUUUGUGGUGUUUGAACUCGAGUAUGUGUGUUUGUUGAAGUUGAGUUUGUGUUGUGUUUGAAUUUGAGUUUGUGGCGUUUGUUGAACUUGAGUUUGUGGCAUUUGUUGAACUUGAGUUUGUGUGUUUGUUGAACUUGAGGUUGUGGCAAUUGUUUAACUUGAGAUUUGGGUGUUGGUUGAACUUGAGUUUGUGUCGUGUUUGAACUUGAGUUUUUUGUGUUUUUGAACUUGAGUUUGUGUUUUUUUUUUACUUUAGGUUGCAGGGUUUUUGAACUUGAGUUUGUUGAAGUUAAGGUUGUGGCAAUUGUUAAACUUGAGAUUUGGGUGUUGGUUGAACUUGAGUUUUUGCUGUUUUUGAACCUGAGUUUUUGGUGAUUUUGAACUUGAGUUACUGUGUUUGUUGAACUUGAGUUUGUGUUGCAUUUGAACUUGAGUUUGUGUCGUGUUUGAACUUGAGUUUGUGUGUUUUUUGAACUUGAGGUUGUGAAAAUGUUUAAUCUUGAGAAUCAGGUGUUGGUUGAACUUGAGUUUGUGGUUUUUGUUGAACUUGAGUUUGUGUAAAACUUGAGCUUGUGUGUUUUUUGAACUUGAGUCUGUGUUGUUUUUGAUCUUGAGGUUGUGGAAAUUGUUAAACUUGAGAUUUGGGUGUUGGUUGAACAUGAGUGUGUCUGUUUGUUGAACUUGAUUUUUUGUCGUGUUUGAACUUGAUUUUGUGGUGUUUUUGAACUUGAAUUUGCGUGUUUGUUGAACUUGAGUUUGUGUGUUUUUUGAACUUGAGUUUCUGUUGUUUUUGAACUUGAGGUUGUGGAAAUUGUUAAACUUGACAAUAAGUUGUUUUUGGUUGAACUUGAAUUUCUUUGUUUGUUGAACUUGAGUUUGUGUUGUGUUUGAAUUUGAGUUUGUGUUGUUUUUGAAUUUGAGUUUUUAUUAUUGCUUGAACUUGAGAUUUGGGUGUUGGUUGAACUUGAGUUUGUGGUGUUUAUGAACUUGAGGGUGUGUAAUUUGUUGAACUUGAGGUUGUGGCAAUUGUUAAACUUGAGUUAGUGUGUUUGUUGAACUUGAAUUUUUUUUUGAACUUGAGUUUGUGUGUUUGUUGAAAUUGAGGUUGUGGCAAUUGUUUAACUUGAGAUUUGGGUGUUGGUUGAACUUGAGUUUGUGUUGUUUUUGAACUUGAGUUUGUGGCGUUUCGGAACUUGAGUUGGUGGUUUUUUUGAACUUGAGUUUCGUGUUUGAACUUGAUUCUGUGGUUUUUGUUGAACUUGAGUUUGUGUCGUGUUUGAACUUCAGUUUGUGGUGUUUUUUAACUUGAGUUUGUGGUUUUUUUGAAGUUGAGAGUGUGGAAUUUUUUGAACUUCAGUUUGUGGCAAUUGUUAAACUUGAGUUUGUGUUUUAGUUGAACCUGAGUUUGUUUCGUGUUUGAACUUGAGUUUGUGGUGUUUUUAAACAUGACUUUGUGGUAUUUUUAAAUUUGAGGGGUAGAAUUUGUUGAACUUGAGGUUGUGGCAAUUGUUAAACUUGAGAUUUGGGUGUUUUUGAACUUGAGUUUGUGUUUUUUUUUUACUUUAGGUUGCAGGGUUUUUGAACUUGAGUUUGUUGAAGUUAAGGUUGUGGCAAUUGUUAAACUUGAGAUUUGGGUGUUGGUUGAACUUGAGUUUUUGCUGUUUUUGAACCUGAGUUUUUGGUGAUUUUGAACUUGAGUUACUGUGUUUGUUGAACUUGAGUUUGUGUUGCAUUUGAACUUGAGUUUGUGUCGUGUUUGAACUUGAGUUUGUGUGUUUUUUGAACUUGAGGUUGUGAAAAUGUUUAAUCUUGAGAAUCAGGUGUUGGUUGAACUUGAGUUUGUGGUUUUUGUUGAACUUGAGUUUGUGUAAAACUUGAGCUUGUGUGUUUUUUGAACUUGAGUCUGUGUUGUAUUUGAGCUGGAGGUUGUGGAAAUUGUUAAACUUGAGAUUUGGGUGUUGGUUGAACAUGAGUGUGUCUGUUUGUUGAACUUGAUUUUUUGUCGUGUUUGAACUUGAUUUUGUGGUGUUUUUGAACUUGAAUUUGCGUGUUUGUUGAACUUGAGUUUGUGUGUUUUUUGAACUUGAGUUUCUGUUGUUUUUGAACUUGAGGUUGUGGAAAUUGUUAAACUUGACAAUAAGUUGUUUUUGGUUGAACUUGAAUUUCUUUGUUUGUUGAACUUGAGUUUGUGUUGUGUUUGAAUUUGAGUUUGUGUUGUUUUUGAAUUUGAGUUUUUAUUAUUGCUUGAACUUGAGAUUUGGGUGUUGGUUGAACUUGAGUUUGUGGUGUUUAUGAACUUGAGGGUGUGUAAUUUGUUGAACUUGAGGUUGUGGCAAUUGUUAAACUUGAGUUUGUGUGUUUGUUGAACUUGAGUUUGUGUCGUGUUUGAACUUGAGUUUGUGUGAUUGUUGAACUUGAGGUUGUGGCAAUUGUUUAACUUGAGAUUUGGGUGUUGGUUGAACUUGAGUUUGUGUUGUUUUUGAACUUGAGUUUGUGGCGUUUCUGAACUUGAGUUGGUGGUGUUUUUGAACUUGAGUUUCAUGUUUGAACUUGAUUUUGUGGUUUUUGUUUAACUUGAGUUUGUGUCGUGUUUGAACUUCAGUUUGUGGUGUUUUUUAACUUGAGUUUGUGGUUUUUUUGAAGUUGAGAGUGUGGAAUUUUUUGAACUUCAGUUUGUGGCAAUUGUUAAACUUGAGUUUGUGUUUUAGUUGAACCUGAGUUUGUUUCGUGUUUGAACUUGAGUUUGUGGUGUUUUUAAACAUGACUUUGUGGUAUUUUUAAAUUUGAGGGGGUAGAAUUUGUUGAACUUGAGGUUGUGGCAAUUGUUAAACUUGAGAUUUGGGUGUUGGUUGAACUUGAGUUUGUGUUGUUUUUGAACUUGAGUUUGUGGCGUUUCUGAACUUGAGUUGGUGGUGUUUUUGAACUUGAGUUUCAUGUUUGAACUUGAUUUUGUGGUUUUUGUUGAACUUGAGUUUGUGUCGGUGUGAACUUGAGUUUGUGGUGUUUUUUAACUUGAGUUUGUGGUUUUUUUGAAGUUGAGAGUGUGGAAUUUGUUGAACUUCAGUUUGUGGCAAUUGUUAAACUUGAGUUUGUGUUUUAGUUGAACCUGAGUUUGUUUCGUGUUUGAACUUGAGUUUGUGGUGUUUUUAAACAUGACUUUGUGGUAUUUUUAAAUUUGAGGGGGUAGAAUUUGUUGAACUUGAGGUUGUGGCAAUUGUUAAACUUGAGAUUUGGGUGUUUUUGAACUUGAGUUUGUGUUUUUUUUUUACUUUAGGUUGCAGGGUUUUUGAACUUGAGUUUGUUGAAGUUAAGGUUGUGGCAAUUGUUAAACUUGAGAUUUGGGUGUUGGUUGAACUUGAGUUUUUGCUGUUUUUGAACCUGAGUUUUUGGUGAUUUUGAACUUGAGUUACUGUGUUUGUUGAACUUGAGUUUGUGUUGCAUUUGAACUUGAGUUUGUGUCGUGUUUGAACUUGAGUUUGUGUGUUUUUUGAACUUGAGGUUGUGAAAAUGUUUAAUCUUGAGAAUCAGGUGUUGGUUGAACUUGAGUUUGUGGUUUUUGUUGAACUUGAGUUUGUGUAAAACUUGAGCUUGUGUGUUUUUUGAACUUGAGUCUGUGUUGUAUUUGAGCUGGAGGUUGUGGAAAUUGUUAAACUUGAGAUUUGGGUGUUGGUUGAACAUGAGUGUGUCUGUUUGUUGAACUUGAUUUUUUGUCGUGUUUGAACUUGAUUUUGUGGUGUUUUUGAACUUGAAUUUGCGUGUUUGUUGAACUUGAGUUUGUGUGUUUUUUGAACUUGAGUUUCUGUUGUUUUUGAACUUGAGGUUGUGGAAAUUGUUAAACUUGACAAUAAGUUGUUUUUGGUUGAACUUGAAUUUCUUUGUUUGUUGAACUUGAGUUUGUGUUGUGUUUGAAUUUGAGUUUGUGUUGUUUUUGAAUUUGAGUUUUUAUUAUUGCUUGAACUUGAGAUUUGGGUGUUGGUUGAACUUGAGUUUGUGGUGUUUAUGAACUUGAGGGUGUGUAAUUUGUUGAACUUGAGGUUGUGGCAAUUGUUAAACUUGAGUUUGUGUGUUUGUUGAACUUGAGUUUGUGUCGUGUUUGAACUUGAGUUUGUGUGAUUGUUGAACUUGAGGUUGUGGCAAUUGUUUAACUUGAGAUUUGGGUGUUGGUUGAACUUGAGUUUGUGUUGUUUUUGAACUUGAGUUUGUGGCGUUUCUGAACUUGAGUUGGUGGUGUUUUUGAACUUGAGUUUCAUGUUUGAACUUGAUUUUGUGGUUUUUGUUUAACUUGAGUUUGUGUCGUGUUUGAACUUCAGUUUGUGGUGUUUUUUAACUUGAGUUUGUGGUUUUUUUGAAGUUGAGAGUGUGGAAUUUUUUGAACUUCAGUUUGUGGCAAUUGUUAAACUUGAGUUUGUGUUUUAGUUGAACCUGAGUUUGUUUCGUGUUUGAACUUGAGUUUGUGGUGUUUUUAAACAUGACUUUGUGGUAUUUUUAAAUUUGAGGGGGUAGAAUUUGUUGAACUUGAGGUUGUGGCAAUUGUUAAACUUGAGAUUUGGGUGUUGGUUGAACUUGAGUUUGUGUUGUUUUUGAACUUGAGUUUGUGGCGUUUCUGAACUUGAGUUGGUGGUGUUUUUGAACUUGAGUUUCAUGUUUGAACUUGAUUUUGUGGUUUUUGUUGAACUUGAGUUUGUGUCGGUGUGAACUUGAGUUUGUGGUGUUUUUUAACUUGAGUUUGUGGUUUUUUUGAAGUUGAGAGUGUGGAAUUUGUUGAACUUCAGUUUGUGGCAAUUGUUAAACUUGAGUUUGUGGUUUUUUUGAACUUGAGUUUGUUUCGUGUUUGAACUUGAGUUUGUGGUGUUUUUAAACAUGACUUUGUGGUAUUUUUAAAUUUGAGGGGGUAGAAUUUGUUGAACUUGAGGUUGUGGCAAUUGUUAAACUUGAGAUUUGGGUGUUUUUGAACUUGAGUUUGUGUUUUUUUUUUACUUUAGGUUGCAGGGUUUUUGAACUUGAGUUUGUUGAAGUUAAGGUUGUGGCAAUUGUUAAACUUGAGAUUUGGGUGUUGGUUGAACUUGAGUUUUUGCUGUUUUUGAACCUGAGUUUUUGGUGAUUUUGAACUUGAGUUACUGUGUUUGUUGAACUUGAGUUUGUGUUGCAUUUGAACUUGAGUUUGUGUCGUGUUUGAACUUGAGUUUGUGUGUUUUUUGAACUUGAGGUUGUGAAAAUGUUUAAUCUUGAGAAUCAGGUGUUGGUUGAACUUGAGUUUGUGGUUUUUGUUGAACUUGAGUUUGUGUAAAACUUGAGCUUGUGUGUUUUUUGAACUUGAGUCUGUGUUGUAUUUGAGCUGGAGGUUGUGGAAAUUGUUAAACUUGAGAUUUGGGUGUUGGUUGAACAUGAGUGUGUCUGUUUGUUGAACUUGAUUUUUUGUCGUGUUUGAACUUGAUUUUGUGGUGUUUUUGAACUUGAAUUUGCGUGUUUGUUGAACUUGAGUUUGUGUGUUUUUUGAACUUGAGUUUCUGUUGUUUUUGAACUUGAGGUUGUGGAAAUUGUUAAACUUGACAAUAAGUUGUUUUUGGUUGAACUUGAAUUUCUUUGUUUGUUGAACUUGAGUUUGUGUUGUGUUUGAAUUUGAGUUUGUGUUGUUUUUGAAUUUGAGUUUUUAUUAUUGCUUGAACUUGAGAUUUGGGUGUUGGUUGAACUUGAGUUUGUGGUGUUUAUGAACUUGAGGGUGUGUAAUUUGUUGAACUUGAGGUUGUGGCAAUUGUUAAACUUGAGUUUGUGUGUUUGUUGAACUUGAGUUUGUGUCGUGUUUGAACUUGAGUUUGUGUGAUUGUUGAACUUGAGGUUGUGGCAAUUGUUUAACUUGAGAUUUGGGUGUUGGUUGAACUUGAGUUUGUGUUGUUUUUGAACUUGAGUUUGUGGCGUUUCUGAACUUGAGUUGGUGGUGUUUUUGAACUUGAGUUUCAUGUUUGAACUUGAUUUUGUGGUUUUUGUUUAACUUGAGUUUGUGUCGUGUUUGAACUUCAGUUUGUGGUGUUUUUUAACUUGAGUUUGUGGUUUUUUUGAAGUUGAGAGUGUGGAAUUUUUUGAACUUCAGUUUGUGGCAAUUGUUAAACUUGAGUUUGUGUUUUAGUUGAACCUGAGUUUGUUUCGUGUUUGAACUUGAGUUUGUGGUGUUUUUAAACAUGACUUUGUGGUAUUUUUAAAUUUGAGGGGGUAGAAUUUGUUGAACUUGAGGUUGUGGCAAUUGUUAAACUUGAGAUUUGGGUGUUGGUUGAACUUGAGUUUGUGUUGUUUUUGAACUUGAGUUUGUGGCGUUUCUGAACUUGAGUUGGUGGUGUUUUUGAACUUGAGUUUCAUGUUUGAACUUGAUUUUGUGGUUUUUGUUGAACUUGAGUUUGUGUCGGUGUGAACUUGAGUUUGUGGUGUUUUUUAACUUGAGUUUGUGGUUUUUUUGAAGUUGAGAGUGUGGAAUUUGUUGAACUUCAGUUUGUGGCAAUUGUUAAACUUGAGUUUGUGUUUUAGUUGAACCUGAGUUUGUUUCGUGUUUGAACUUGAGUUUGUGGUGUUUUUAAACAUGACUUUGUGGUAUUUUUAAAUUUGAGGGGGUAGAAUUUGUUGAACUUGAGGUUGUGGCAAUUGUUAAACUUGAGAUUUGGGUGUUUUUGAACUUGAGUUUGUGUUUUUUUUUUACUUUAGGUUGCAGGGUUUUUGAACUUGAGUUUGUUGAAGUUAAGGUUGUGGCAAUUGUUAAACUUGAGAUUUGGGUGUUGGUUGAACUUGAGUUUUUGCUGUUUUUGAACCUGAGUUUUUGGUGAUUUUGAACUUGAGUUACUGUGUUUGUUGAACUUGAGUUUGUGUUGCAUUUGAACUUGAGUUUGUGUCGUGUUUGAACUUGAGUUUGUGUGUUUUUUGAACUUGAGGUUGUGAAAAUGUUUAAUCUUGAGAAUCAGGUGUUGGUUGAACUUGAGUUUGUGGUUUUUGUUGAACUUGAGUUUGUGUAAAACUUGAGCUUGUGUGUUUUUUGAACUUGAGUCUGUGUUGUAUUUGAGCUGGAGGUUGUGGAAAUUGUUAAACUUGAGAUUUGGGUGUUGGUUGAACAUGAGUGUGUCUGUUUGUUGAACUUGAUUUUUUGUCGUGUUUGAACUUGAUUUUGUGGUGUUUUUGAACUUGAAUUUGCGUGUUUGUUGAACUUGAGUUUGUGUGUUUUUUGAACUUGAGUUUCUGUUGUUUUUGAACUUGAGGUUGUGGAAAUUGUUAAACUUGACAAUAAGUUGUUUUUGGUUGAACUUGAAUUUCUUUGUUUGUUGAACUUGAGUUUGUGUUGUGUUUGAAUUUGAGUUUGUGUUGUUUUUGAAUUUGAGUUUUUAUUAUUGCUUGAACUUGAGAUUUGGGUGUUGGUUGAACUUGAGUUUGUGGUGUUUAUGAACUUGAGGGUGUGUAAUUUGUUGAACUUGAGGUUGUGGCAAUUGUUAAACUUGAGUUUGUGUGUUUGUUGAACUUGAGUUUGUGUCGUGUUUGAACUUGAGUUUGUGUGAUUGUUGAACUUGAGGUUGUGGCAAUUGUUUAACUUGAGAUUUGGGUGUUGGUUGAACUUGAGUUUGUGUUGUUUUUGAACUUGAGUUUGUGGCGUUUCUGAACUUGAGUUGGUGGUGUUUUUGAACUUGAGUUUCAUGUUUGAACUUGAUUUUGUGGUUUUUGUUUAACUUGAGUUUGUGUCGUGUUUGAACUUCAGUUUGUGGUGUUUUUUAACUUGAGUUUGUGGUUUUUUUGAAGUUGAGAGUGUGGAAUUUUUUGAACUUCAGUUUGUGGCAAUUGUUAAACUUGAGUUUGUGUUUUAGUUGAACCUGAGUUUGUUUCGUGUUUGAACUUGAGUUUGUGGUGUUUUUAAACAUGACUUUGUGGUAUUUUUAAAUUUGAGGGGGUAGAAUUUGUUGAACUUGAGGUUGUGGCAAUUGUUAAACUUGAGAUUUGGGUGUUGGUUGAACUUGAGUUUGUGUUGUUUUUGAACUUGAGUUUGUGGCGUUUCUGAACUUGAGUUGGUGGUGUUUUUGAACUUGAGUUUCAUGUUUGAACUUGAUUUUGUGGUUUUUGUUGAACUUGAGUUUGUGUCGGUGUGAACUUGAGUUUGUGGUGUUUUUUAACUUGAGUUUGUGGUUUUUUUGAAGUUGAGAGUGUGGAAUUUGUUGAACUUCAGUUUGUGGCAAUUGUUAAACUUGAGUUUGUGUUUUAGUUGAACCUGAGUUUGUUUCGUGUUUGAACUUGAGUUUGUGGUGUUUUUAAACAUGACUUUGUGGUAUUUUUAAAUUUGAGGGGGUAGAAUUUGUUGAACUUGAGGUUGUGGCAAUUGUUAAACUUGAGAUUUGGGUGUUUUUGAACUUGAGUUUGUGUUUUUUUUUUACUUUAGGUUGCAGGGUUUUUGAACUUGAGUUUGUUGAAGUUAAGGUUGUGGCAAUUGUUAAACUUGAGAUUUGGGUGUUGGUUGAACUUGAGUUUUUGCUGUUUUUGAACCUGAGUUUUUGGUGAUUUUGAACUUGAGUUACUGUGUUUGUUGAACUUGAGUUUGUGUUGCAUUUGAACUUGAGUUUGUGUCGUGUUUGAACUUGAGUUUGUGUGUUUUUUGAACUUGAGGUUGUGAAAAUGUUUAAUCUUGAGAAUCAGGUGUUGGUUGAACUUGAGUUUGUGGUUUUUGUUGAACUUGAGUUUGUGUAAAACUUGAGCUUGUGUGUUUUUUGAACUUGAGUCUGUGUUGUAUUUGAGCUGGAGGUUGUGGAAAUUGUUAAACUUGAGAUUUGGGUGUUGGUUGAACAUGAGUGUGUCUGUUUGUUGAACUUGAUUUUUUGUCGUGUUUGAACUUGAUUUUGUGGUGUUUUUGAACUUGAAUUUGCGUGUUUGUUGAACUUGAGUUUGUGUGUUUUUUGAACUUGAGUUUCUGUUGUUUUUGAACUUGAGGUUGUGGAAAUUGUUAAACUUGACAAUAAGUUGUUUUUGGUUGAACUUGAAUUUCUUUGUUUGUUGAACUUGAGUUUGUGUUGUGUUUGAAUUUGAGUUUGUGUUGUUUUUGAAUUUGAGUUUUUAUUAUUGCUUGAACUUGAGAUUUGGGUGUUGGUUGAACUUGAGUUUGUGGUGUUUAUGAACUUGAGGGUGUGUAAUUUGUUGAACUUGAGGUUGUGGCAAUUGUUAAACUUGAGUUUGUGUGUUUGUUGAACUUGAGUUUGUGUCGUGUUUGAACUUGAGUUUGUGUGAUUGUUGAACUUGAGGUUGUGGCAAUUGUUUAACUUGAGAUUUGGGUGUUGGUUGAACUUGAGUUUGUGUUGUUUUUGAACUUGAGUUUGUGGCGUUUCUGAACUUGAGUUGGUGGUGUUUUUGAACUUGAGUUUCAUGUUUGAACUUGAUUUUGUGGUUUUUGUUUAACUUGAGUUUGUGUCGUGUUUGAACUUCAGUUUGUGGUGUUUUUUAACUUGAGUUUGUGGUUUUUUUGAAGUUGAGAGUGUGGAAUUUUUUGAACUUCAGUUUGUGGCAAUUGUUAAACUUGAGUUUGUGUUUUAGUUGAACCUGAGUUUGUUUCGUGUUUGAACUUGAGUUUGUGGUGUUUUUAAACAUGACUUUGUGGUAUUUUUAAAUUUGAGGGGGUAGAAUUUGUUGAACUUGAGGUUGUGGCAAUUGUUAAACUUGAGAUUUGGGUGUUGGUUGAACUUGAGUUUGUGUUGUUUUUGAACUUGAGUUUGUGGCGUUUCUGAACUUGAGUUGGUGGUGUUUUUGAACUUGAGUUUCA